GCGGGUGUAGUUCAAUGGUAGAAUUCCAGCCUUCCAAGCUGGUCGUGUGGGUUCGAUUCCCAUCACCCGCUCCA
This 74-nucleotide transfer RNA is filed under the name Xylanivirga thermophila. Its description in RNAcentral is "tRNA-Gly". It matches the Rfam family "tRNA". From Rfam's summary of the family: Transfer RNA (tRNA) molecules are approximately 80 nucleotides in length. Their secondary structure includes four short double-helical elements and three loops (D, anti-codon, and T loops). RNAcentral also lists the same sequence under 2 other names. The record is from RNAcentral. Lineage: Bacteria; Bacillati; Bacillota; Clostridia; Caldicoprobacterales; Xylanivirgaceae.